AGGACGAACGCUGGCGGCGUGCCUAACACAUGCAAGUCGAACGGGACCAGGGGCAACUCUGGUUCAGUGGCGGACGGGUGCGUAACACGUGAGGAACAUGACCUUCGGCGGGGGAUAGCCGGCCCAACGGCCGGGUAAUACCGCGUACGACCACAUGGGGACAUCCCUGAGUGGUGAAAGCAGCAAUGCGCCGAUGGAGUGCCUCGCGGCCUAUCAGCUAGUUGGUGAGGUAACGGCUCGCCAAGGCAACGACGGGUAGCUGGUCUGAGAGGAUGGCCAGCCACAGUUGGGACUGAGACACGGCCCAGACUCCGUACGGGAGGCAGCAGUAGGGAUAGUUGCGCAAUGGACGAAAGUCUAGACGCGAGACCGGACGCCGGCGUGGUUGGGAUGGACGGUCUUCGGAUUACGUAAACC
Molecule: ribosomal RNA, 417 nt
Filed under: uncultured soil bacterium
Lineage: Bacteria
Description: bacterial SSU rRNA
Rfam family: Bacterial small subunit ribosomal RNA
Source: RNAcentral